UGAACCUUGGGUUAAAGAUUUGUUCAGGUAGAGAAUGAUCGAAUAAUUGCCGCAUAUAGAGCUAUAACAAGUAUGAGUAGGGCGAGCCUGAAAUCCGAGAGAUGGGAUGUCUUUGACUCCCAGACGUCCUGGGCCGUGGUCUCUACUCCGCGUGCUUUCCCAAGAGGAAACCGUAGUUGGAACACCUUGACCAGCCCUCUCUCCAAACCAGGAUGUAAUAACAAGCUCCCGCACAGCUUGAAGAGAAUGAAGAAGGGCAGGCAUACUCAGACAGCGCAUACAUUCAAGGUUUUGGCUUGCUGGAGGCUCCACAGUUCUUCCUGGGAGAACUGGCACUCAUUGGAGGACCACAUCUCCAGUUCAUCCAGGAGAGCCUAGUGAUGUGAACCAGGUUAAAGCCUGCAAUGAGUUGCCAUAGAGUUCAAACAGCACUUUACUGUCUGAGACACCUGAAAGCCUCUUGCUCAAAAAUGUUUAUUUAUCCCACUGCUUAACAAAAUCUUUUUGCAGCCA
Molecule: long non-coding RNA, 513 nt
Organism: Lepisosteus oculatus (spotted gar)
Lineage: Eukaryota; Metazoa; Chordata; Actinopteri; Semionotiformes; Lepisosteidae
Source: RefSeq, a predicted model, not a curated record